Long non-coding RNA from Procambarus clarkii (red swamp crayfish), 575 nucleotides. RefSeq lists it as uncharacterized. The record is from RefSeq and is a predicted model, not a curated record. Lineage: Eukaryota; Metazoa; Arthropoda; Malacostraca; Decapoda; Cambaridae.
UCUGAUGGACUCAGACGUCCAUCAGUAAGUGUUGAAGAUCUCCAACUGCUUCAGGUAGUGACAGACUUGCAGCUUACCAAGCUCAACUUGCAGCUAACACAACCAACAAUGAACAUUAAACCUGUGUUGCUGGUGUUGGUGUGGGUGUUGGGGGCGGUGUUGGGCGCCGCGCAGGUCAUCAUGACACCCAGAGACUUCCCGGGUCAAAGACGGAUGGGUACCAGGAACUUCCGCGGUGGCCACAGCUUCGGCAAGAGAGGCUUCGUGUCUAAACCAAUUGCAAGACUUUCGUGAGAGGAACAGAAUAACAAAAAGUGAAGUUUUAAUCCAGCCAGACGGUGCGAGAAGUUCUACUGGACCCGAUAGGUAUCUCGCCCAUAACGUGCAGGAAUCACCUCGCUAAGGUCACUAACAGUUACUGGAGCAUGGAAAGGAAAUGAUGCACAGUCUGCUGUACCAACAACCUGGCUGAUUGUUAGUAUACAUAGAGUGGUAAUACUAGUGAACUAGUGCUUUGAAACAUUAAACCUUACAUGCCAUCUAUAAAAUAAACACUUUGACAAUUUUGAUUAUAU